This 982-nucleotide ribosomal RNA is filed under the name Halocercus invaginatus. Its description in RNAcentral is "partial large subunit ribosomal RNA". The record is from RNAcentral. Lineage: Eukaryota; Metazoa; Nematoda; Chromadorea; Rhabditida; Pseudaliidae.
AAAAGAAACUAACUAGGAUUCCCAUAGUAACGGCGAGUGAACUGGGAAAAGCCCAGCGCUGAAUCUUUCGAUAUUGUUUAUCGUAAAGAAAUGUAGCGUAUAGGUAUGAUUAUCACGGUUUGUUUAGCAUGUCCAAAGUUCCUUUGAUAGGGGCCACAAAUCCAGAGAGGGUGCGAGACCUGUGCGGACAGUUGAGCAUACCGUUCGAUUAUACCUUGGAGUCGGGUUGCUUGAAAGUGCAGCCUUAAGUGGGUGAUAAACUUCAUCUAAGGCUAAAUACGGACGCGAAUUCGAUAGCAAACAAGUACUGUGAAGGAAAGUUGCAAAGAACUUUGAAGAGAGAGUUCAAGAGAACGUGAAAUCGUUGAAGUGGAACCGGAGAGAGUUGACGUAGUCUGAUGGAUAAGUAUCGCAAAAAUCGCAUACGAUCUACGUGUGUGAUUAGAGUGUUAUGUAUGCCAUCAAUGACUGUGCUGACAGCAUCGAAUACACGUUCUAAACUCCAUACGAACAUGUUGCCCAUUCUAUAUCGUAUAGAUUGGUGUCUUGUGUUCAGGGGUAAAGUUUGUUGURUAUUGAUGUUGAAAAGUAUGCGAAUUGUGUAAUUGUAUGUCAGCGUAAAAGUCAACCACCUCUCCGACCCGUCUUGAAACACGGACCGAGGAGUGUAACUUGUACGCGAGUCAAUAGGUGGUGAAACCUAAAGGCGAAACGAAAGUGAAGGUACGGUUAACCGGCUGACAUGGGAAACACAGUGUGUGUAUGUGCGUUAUGUACAAUGACACGUGCGUUACACCAUGGCCCUGUCUUGUCUGCAUGCAGAUGGGCAGCGGUAGAGCGUACAGGUUGCGACCCGAAAGAUGGUGAACUAUGCCUGAGCAGGACGAAGUCAGAGGAAACUCUGAUGGAAGUCCGUAUCGGUUCUGACGUGCAAAUCGAUCGAUAGACUUGGGUAUAGGGGCGAAAGACUAAUCGAACCAUC